RNAcentral lists this ribosomal RNA (1341 nucleotides) under uncultured bacterium. RNAcentral describes it as "16S ribosomal RNA". It matches the Rfam family "Bacterial small subunit ribosomal RNA", at positions 34 to 1381 of the family's 1533-position model. The record is from RNAcentral.
CGCUGGCGGCGUGCUUAACACAUGCAAGUCGAACGAUGAAGCCUAGCUUGCUAGGUGGAUUAGUGGCGAACGGGUGAGUAAUACGUGAGUAACCUACCUUUAACUCUGGGAUAAGCCUGGGAAACUGGGUCUAAUACCGGAUACGACCAAUCUCCGCAUGGGGUGUUGGUGGAAAGCGUUAUGUAGUGGUUAUAGAUGGGCUCACGGCCUAUCAGCUUGUUGGUGAGGUAACGGCUCACCAAGGCGACGACGGGUAGCCGGCCUGAGAGGGUGACCGGCCACACUGGGACUGAGACACGGCCCAGACUCCUACGGGAGGCAGCAGUGGGGAAUAUUGCACAAUGGGCGCAAGCCUGAUGCAGCGACGCCGCGUGAGGGAUGACGGCCUUCGGGUUGUAAACCUCUGUUAGCAGGGAAGAAGAGAAAUUGACGGUACCUGCAGAGAAAGCGCCGGCUAACUACGUGCCAGCAGCCGCGGUAAUACGUAAGGCGCGAGCGUUGUCCGGAAUUAUUGGGCGUAAAGAGCUUGUAAGCGGUUUGUCGCGUCUGCUGUGAAGGCCGGGGCUUAACCCCGUGUAUUGCAGUGGGUACGGGCAGACUAGAGUGCAGUAGGGGAGACUGGAACUCCUGGUGUAGCGGUGGAAUGCGCAGAUAUCAGGAAGAACACCGAUGGCGAAGGCAGGUCUCUGGGCUGUAACUGACGCUGAGAAGCGAAAGCAUGGGGAGCGAACAGGAUUAGAUACCCUGGUAGUCCAUGCCGUAAACGUUGGGUACUAGGUGUGGGGGACAUUCCACGUUUUCCGCGCCGUAGCUAACGCAUUAAGUGCCCCGCCUGGGGAGUACGGCCGCAAGGCUAAAACUCAAAGAAAUUGACGGGGGCCCGCACAAGCGGCGGAGCAUGCGGAUUAAUUCGAUGCAACGCGAAGAACCUUACCAAGGCUUGACAUAUACUGGACCGCAUCAGAGAUGGUGUUUCCCUUCGGGGCUGGUAUACAGGUGGUGCAUGGUUGUCGUCAGCUCGUGUCGUGAGAUGUUGGGUUAAGUCCCGCAACGAGCGCAACCCUCGUUCUAUGUUGCCAGCACGUUAUGGUGGGGACUCAUAGGAGACUGCCGGGGUCAACUCGGAGGAAGGUGGGGAUGACGUCAAAUCAUCAUGCCCCUUAUGUCUUGGGCUUCACGCAUGCUACAAUGGCCGGUACAGAGGGUUGCGAUACUGUGAGGUGGAGCUAAUCCCUAAAAGCCGGUCUCAGUUCGGAUUGGGGUCUGCAACUCGACCCCAUGAAGUCGGAGUCGCUAGUAAUCGCAGAUCAGCAACGCUGCGGUGAAUACGUUCCCGGGCCU